This 264-nucleotide ribosomal RNA is filed under the name uncultured bacterium. RNAcentral's name for it is "partial 16S ribosomal RNA". It matches the Rfam family "Bacterial small subunit ribosomal RNA", at positions 793 to 1055 of the family's 1533-position model. The record is from RNAcentral.
GUCCACGCUGUAAACGAUGGAUGCUAGCCGUCAGCAAGCAUGCUUGUUGGUGGCGCAGCUAACGCAUUAAGCAUCCCGCCUGGGGAGUACGGCCGCAAGGUUAAAACUCAAAGGAAUUGACGGGGGCCCGCACAAGCGGUGGAGCAUGUGGUUUAAUUCGACGCAACGCGAAGAACCUUACCAGCCCUUGACAUGGCCGGACGGUUUCCAGAGAUGGAUUCCUCCUAGCAAUAGGUCGGCACACAGGUGCUGCAUGGCUGUCGU